Molecule: ribosomal RNA, 253 nt
Filed under: uncultured bacterium
Lineage: Bacteria
Description: partial 16S ribosomal RNA
Rfam family: Bacterial small subunit ribosomal RNA
Source: RNAcentral
UACGGAGGAUGCAAGCGUUAUCCGGAAUGAUUGGGCGUAAAGGGUCCGCAGGUGGCAAUGUGUGUCUGCUGUCAAAGAAUGAGGCUUAACCUCAUCAAGGCAGUGGAAACUACAUAGCUGGAGUACGGUCGGGGUAGAAGGAAUUCCUGGUGUAGCGGUGAAAUGCGUAGAGAUCAGGAAGAACACCGGUGGCGAAAGCGUUCUGCUAGACCUGUACUGACACUGAGGGACGAAAGCUAGGGGAGCGAAUGGG